AAAGGCAGGGACAAGAGCGGUGUGUGUUUCACCUUGGGCGAGGCGUGGGAUGGAUGUGUCUGCACACCCGGAGUGGGAAACGAUGGCCGGGAGUGAAGCUGUGGGAGGUCGCUCGGGCUCGCCUGUCACUUGCGAAGCCUCUGGAGUGCUUCUCGGGAGAUGGCUGACGGGAAGAGAGCAAGCGGCCGAGUGAUGCCACUGGAGGUGGCAGAGCCAUUCGAGGUUCAGGCUGCUGAAAGUGAAGUCAGGACCUGCCUCUUGCUCGUGCGGUGCGUGCGCGACAGCGAGCAAGGAGGAGGGGGUGUGAGUGAGGAGGGAAGGCCAGGUUUGAGUGACAUUCGGUUUCACACGCAAAACAGACACUGGGGUUCGGUGGCACCUCGCGGUUUGCCGCCUCCUGAACCUUACGCUGACUGCAAACACGCGGCUGAGCGCACAAGCAUAGGGGCGCAUCACGCGUGGGCUGCUGCGGAGCCCCGGGUGUGAUUCCCGCUGGGAGGGCCGUGCGCUGCGGGUGCCUGCGUGUCUCACCGCACGGCGUAAAAUGGCAGGUGUACCCAAGUGCUGAGACGCGCUUUUCACAGAUGCCAAAAGGCGGUUUUGGUUUUGUUUACGUUUGUAAAGAGGGAGCUGGAGUUCAGCUCGCUCUACCUCAUGCUGGGGUACAUCAGAUAAGAAGCCUUCAGGAGAGAAAAGGCUAUCGGACAGGGAAGAAACAGCGGGUGUUUCUAGCUCGCAGAUAUUUUAAGUAAACUCAAAGGAAUUAGAAUAUGUAUUGCCUUGGGUGUCUCUACACAUACUACCCUAACCACUGAUUGUGUCAAGUAUUUGGGGAGGUGUGGGGUGGCAUAGGAUCUGAGAGCAGUGGGUGAGGAGGAGGGCCUUGGUCUCUGCUCUGAAAACUGAAGGAUGCUGAUAUUUACCCCUAAUGGGGGUGAGUUUGUCUGGGUGACACAAUGAUGGAGCAUCAAUAUCUGCACAUGAUAUCACAGGAGCUGUAGCAUUAUGUGUACCUGCAUACGCAUGAAUGCGUAUGUUACAGCGUGUAUACAUAGGUCCUGGGACUCCAUUUGGCUUGACAUAGGUUUGUUUUUCACACUUCAAUUUGCCCAUUACAAAUAUGAUAAGAAAGAAUUAGUAAAGUCUCCCAAGCUUGGCUCCAGUAUUUUCAAUGCUAUUUGUCACUUCAUUGUUAUCCACUUAAUCCUUUGCAAAACAGAUGCUUGAACUUGAUAGAGAAACAGGUGUGCAAGUCUGCACGCCACAAUUUGCACAGUGCAAAUCAGGUGCAUUGGGGAGCUCUGUUUCUAAACUGGAUCCAAGGGCUUUUCUCAGCAAUUCCAGCUCACAGAAUGUUUAUGCCUAGUGCACUCAAACACACAACGUUCGGGUGAUGUUAGUGUGUUGUUAAGUGUGGAAGAUAUUAACAUUAACAUGAUGCUGGUGUGGAAGAAGAUGGCAAGUGUAGAUGCACUGGGAUGGUUUGCUGGAGGCUGGGCAGUGACCAGCACAGGAAGGAAUAUGCUCGCAGUGUGAUUGGUCGAGGGCUGACAUACAUAAGCCUUCCCCAUCUGGAGUGAUACUUUUCUGUGUGGUUUUAUCCUAAAACACUGGAGAGUGUGUGCACAGCUGCUGAUGGCUCAUGCACAGCUGCUGAUAGACAAAACCCUCUUACUGUUUUAUCCCCAGAUGAUGUCCUCCUUCUUCUCUCAUGCAGUGUCUGUCACCAAAUUAUAAUUAAAAAAAUAUGGAAAUGAUGUUAGACAAAAAGAAAAUUGGAGCGAUUUUCUUAUUAGAGUUCAAAACGGAUCAUAAAGCAGUGGAGACAACUUGCAACAUCAACAAUGCGUUUGGCCCAGGAACUGCUGAAGAACGUACAGUGCAGUGGUCAUUCAAGAAGUUUCACAAAGGAGACGAGAGCCUUGAAGAUGAGGAGCAUAGUGGCGGCCAUUGGAAGUUGACAACAACCAAUGGAGAGCAAUCAUUGAAGCUGAUCCUCUUACAACUACAUGACAAGUUGCUGAAGAACUCGGCAUUAACCAUUCCACAGUCAUUCAGCAGUUUUAUCAAAUUGGAAAGGUGAAAAAGCUCGAUAAAUGGGUGCCUCAUGAGCUGACUGAAAAUUUUUAAAAAUUGUCAUUUUGAAGUGUUGUCUUCGUCUACACAGCGACAAUGAACCAUUUCUUGAUCAGAUUGUGACAUGUGACAAAAAGUAGAUUUCAUAUGACAAUUGGCAAUGACCAAUCAGCUCAGUUGUUGUACUGGAAGGAACCUCCAAAGCACUUCCCAAAGCCAAACUUGCACCAAAAAAAGGUCAUGGUCAGUGUUUGUUGGUCUGCUGCCAAUCUGAUCCACCACAGCUUUCUGAAUCCUGGUGAAAACAUUACACUGAGAAGGAUGCUCAGCAAAUUGAUGAGAUGCAAUGAAAACUCCUACAUGUGCAAUGGACAUUUAUCAAUAAAAAGGGCCCAAUUCUUCCUCAUGACAACACCCAAAUGCACAUUGCACAACCAACACUUCAAAAUUUGAAUGAAUUGGACUACAAAGUUUUGCCUCAUCUGCUGUUUUCACGUGACCUCUCACCAGCCAGCUACCACUUCUACAAGCAUCUCAACAAGUUUUUGCAGGGAAAAUGCUUCCACAACCAGCAGGAUGCAGAAAAUGCUUUCCAAGAGUUCAUCGAAUUCCGAAGCAUGGAUUUAUAAGCUACAGGAAUGAGCAAACUUAUUUCUUGUUGGCAAAAAUAUGUUGAUUGUAAUGGUUCCUAUUUUUAUUAAUAAAGAGGUGUAUGAGCCUAGUUAUAAUGAUUUAAAA
This is a long non-coding RNA of Columba livia (rock pigeon), 2814 nucleotides long. RefSeq lists it as uncharacterized. The record is from RefSeq and is a predicted model, not a curated record. The transcript has 2 exons. Lineage: Eukaryota; Metazoa; Chordata; Aves; Columbiformes; Columbidae.